Long non-coding RNA from Helianthus annuus (common sunflower), 4040 nucleotides. RefSeq lists it as uncharacterized. Lineage: Eukaryota; Viridiplantae; Streptophyta; Magnoliopsida; Asterales; Asteraceae. The record is from RefSeq and is a predicted model, not a curated record. The transcript has 9 exons.
AACACAUCUUCUUCCUACGCCUCUAUCACAAACCCUACUAGCGAAAAUCCAACACCUCCAUCAUAAAUCAGUUUUCUUCGUUGCGAUUCCUACACCUUCCAUCACAAAUCAGUUUUCUUCAUUGCGAUUAGUGGAAACGCUCAAGAUUCCAACGAUUCGGCUUAGUAUUGUUUGUUCGGUCACAAUCUAGACAAGAAACCCUAAUUCCAUGGCGAUGCGGUUUAGGAACAAACAGAUCUGUGGAUAGAAUGCCCUAGCCGCCGCCUCCAGCAGUGAAGGCUAGGGUUUCGACAAGUUGAUCCUGAGCAAGUCCAGUUUUGAUGGUUGUAAGGCGUUGUUCAUCUCAGUUCAGGCUGAGGUAAACUUCUUAGGAAGGCUUUCACAUCCGAAUCUGGUGAAACUUUUGGGAUAUUGUUAUGAGGGAAAAGAGCUUUUACUUGUAUAUGAACUCAUGCAACGAGGCAACUUCGGAACCACCUUUUCGGAAGGGGGUCAACUGUUCAGCCGCUUCCAUGGGAUAUACGGCUUAAGAUUGCAAUAGGAGCAGCUUGUGAGCUGUCAUUUUUGCACACUUCGGAUAAGAAAGUUAUUUAUAGAGACUUUGAGGCAUCAAACAUAUUGCUUGAUGGGUCGUAUAAUGCAUAGCUAUCGGAUUUUGGGCUGGCUAAAUUAGCAUCGGCUAGCCAAUCGCAUGUGACCACACGGGUGAUAGGUACAUAUGGUUAUGUUGUUCCUGAAUAUGUUACCAUAGGUAAUCUUAAAUUCUUAAUCGUUUAAGCUUAAGGGCUAAAAGACAUUGCCAAACUGUUAAACAAUGGAGUAAACUUUCAAUUUGUUUGGUUAAAUCAUUAUUUACCAACAUUUGGAUGGUCAAUUUAGCUUUAAAGAUUGUUGAAUUUAGUUGUAAGUUUGUAAUGUUGACUUUUGGCAUCAUGAUUAGGUUAAAAUUGCAUCUUUUCGUGGUAAAUAUAGAUCCAAAAUUUGAGGUUUUAUGAUAUCAAAUCUUAUUUUUUUUAGACGUGUCUUCGUGUUACUGUGUUAUUGGUUGAAUUUAGUGUAAGGGUGUUUUUUUUGUUUAACACAAGAUUUAACCCAAACAUGUUUCGUUUAAAAACAGCUUGACCCGUUAACUGUUCAAAUAAUGUGCACCGAGGGAAAGGUAGUUUUAUAGCCAAGGCAAAUGUUGUUGAGGCUGCUGGGUGCUUCAGCAAUCAUUAUUAACAAUCGCACAUGUACAUUAUUAACAUGCAUAUUGUAUAUGUUAAUAAUGAAACUUGUCAAUAAAAAUACUAGCCUAUAAUGAAACGUGUCAAGUGGGUCGAAAUGGUUGAAAAGCCUCGAUUUUCCAUGGUUGAAAAUGCUUCGAUUGGUAGUAGACUUUCAUUGGUUCUUCCCCCGCCACAUUUACCCUUACCACAGCCAAUUUGGCAUCACUCGCCUCAUUCUAUUUGGUCCCAUCACACAAUGCCUCGCUUUGAACUGGUAAGUUAUAAUGGGGGGUGUUUGCAAUAUUCAGAGUUUAUUUGAUAAACAGAUUCUGAAUCUGAUUAUGAUUAUGAUUGCUUCUAUAUCACAUCACUGUUUCCAAAACACACAACCAAACCUCACUAGGUUUUGGGCGGGAAAAUGAAUGGGCAAAUGUGUUUUACCAUACCCGGAUUUUUAACCCGAUUAUAUGAAGUUUCUAGAAUACCAUCGAGUCGGGGUCUCAUUGGAAGCAGCCUCUCUAUUCCCCUUUGUUAUUUUUAAAGGUUUUUGGGAUGUUUAGGAUUGGACAACUGUUAAUUCCAUUAUCUGUUUUGUUGUUUGGAUUAUGGAUGGUUAGGUGAAUUUUACAUUUACCUCAAUAGUUAGUUUUCUUGCAGUUACUCGAUACUGUUGUCCCUAAAUCUGAUUGCUUUGACUCUAAUUAAUCAGGAAAUCAUAACCAGUUUAGAGUUUGACAGACAUUAAAAGUCAACACAUCUCCUUAUGCAUAAGGUACUGAUAUAGUUUUCAGUCCUUACGCGAUAAUGUACUUGUAUCGUGUAUUUAUUUGUUUAUGGUAUUGUGUAUUUAUUUGUUUAUGAAAUUAAUUCUGAUGGUUUAUAUGUGUGCCAUUGUAACUUUCAAUCCAAGUAAUCAUUAAAGAAACUAUUGUUUAUGUCCAGUUGUUGUAGAGGUCAGUUAACUACCCUCUGCAAAUAUUAUACCAUUAGUCAUAUUAUGCUAUAUGUUGGUACUUUAUUAAUAUUGGAAAUUUGUUUAGAUAAAAAAGGUUUUUUUUUUUUUUUGUGAACCAUGCAUGAAUGUAUCUAAUGUGUUUUGGGAGGCUGUUUCUACAGGUCAAAUUGUAUCAUUAUAUCAGUGUCUUGGAACAAAGAAUUUGCAAUCAUUUAUCGCACAAUUUGUGUACUUUCACGGAUAUAGUUAUUUUAAAAGGCUGUACCAGGUAAAAUAUAGUACAGAAUCAAUUGGAACAAAAGCAAAUUUUCUUCUUGCUGCUUCUGUCGGGGCAUGUACUGACAUCAUAACUCAGGUUAGAAAUUAUCGCCUUUUUUCUUUAGUUUUAUUUUUUGUUUUUGUGUUUCAAAUUAUACUUGCAAGGGGAUAUUUGGAUGUGCGGUUUCAAACUGAUUAUGUAACAUUAUAUAACCGGGAUCAGAUAACCAGGUUGGAUUAUGUGAUAUGCAUACACAACUAGGGGUGUCCAUCGGGUUUUUUCUUCGGGUUUCGGGUUUUUCGGGUCGGGUUGUUCGGGUUUUUGUCUAGGAAAAAUUAACCCAAUAACCGACCCAUUUAAAGUUCGGGUUAGUCGGUUUUGGGUUAUUUGGGUUCGGGUUAGUUCGGGUCGGGUUGUUCAGUUUUCGGGUUUCGAUGUAAAAUGAAAAAUUUAUGUUUUUUUACAAGAUAUCAUAAAAUUCAUAUUGCUACUUUAAAAAUAUCAUCAAAGUUCAAACAUUAUUUGACAAUAUGCUAUUAUAAUAUUUAAAAGUCCCAAAACUUGAUGUUUCAUAUAUUAAAGACUCAAAACCAAAACACUUUUAUAAGAAAAAAACAAUAAAUGUUCAGGUUUUUUGUCGGGUUUCGUGUUUCGGGUUUUUCGGGUCGUGUUGUUUGGGUUUUUGGUAGGGAAAAAGUGACCCGAUAACCGAACCAUUUAAAGUUCGGGUUGGUCGGGUUCGGGUUUCUCUGGUUCGGGUUUUUCAGAUAUUCGCUAAUUCGGGUUCGGGUGGCUUUGAAUUCGGGCCGGGUUUCGGGUUUUGGAUAAAAAUGAACAACCCUAUACACAACCUGAUUCUAUAAAUAGUUUCUUUUAAACUUUGUGGUUCACCACCUGACAAUUAUUGGAUUAAAUAAGGAUUGCCUCACUCAGUUAUGUUCAAAUCAAUCCAACCUUAUAAAAGACGCAUUCUAGAAGUCUUUUAAGAUUUCUUUCGAGCUACUAUUGGGCUUAUGGAGAGUUGGAGAAACUACUUACAAUGACAAAGAAGAACCGCAGUCUGUAGCUCUCGCUUCGAAGAAUGAUGCAGAAUUGAUGAAACUGGUGGAAAAAAGAGAGGAUAGUGAUGGGACAAUGGCACUGUCUGUUCAAGGGUUUAUUAGCAAGGUUUUGCAUGGAGUAGAUGGGUUUAUGAAUCUGGGUCUUUGGUAGGGUCUAAUGCAGGCGUUAGUGUGGUGUUUGAGACGAAAGGUUACCUUUUAGAAGCUGGUAAACCAUACUUCUCUGCUUAAUUGCUCCAUAAGUCCUUUUCAGAUUGUUUGUAAGUGUUGGUUGGCCAGAGGUAUAUGUUGCUCAAGAGGUACAAAAAGAUGGAUAUCUUUUGGAGGAAUAGGAGAACAAGGAAAUGCUAAAAAAUAGACCGCAUGGAAGUUGAUAAUGAAUAUAGCGGACAAGUAUAAUCAAGACAUCAAAUUUAUGUGUAUUGUUUGAUAAUUGAGGUGUGUUUUUGUAUAUUUACCGGUCGAUUAUAAGUAUUUAGCGUAAAUGAAAUUAAAAUGAAAGAAGUUUGUAAACUUGAACAUGAUUUUUGAGUUUGAUUUCGCCCUUUAUCGAUUCG